UUACCUGCAGUCCAGUAGUUAGGACUUUGCACUUUCACUGUGGAGGGCACAGGUUUGAUCCCUGUCCGGGGAA
This 73-nucleotide transfer RNA is filed under the name Ovis aries (sheep). It matches the Rfam family "tRNA". Rfam says of the family: Transfer RNA (tRNA) molecules are approximately 80 nucleotides in length. Their secondary structure includes four short double-helical elements and three loops (D, anti-codon, and T loops). Lineage: Eukaryota; Metazoa; Chordata; Mammalia; Artiodactyla; Bovidae. The record is from Rfam by way of RNAcentral.